Long non-coding RNA from Lolium rigidum, 499 nucleotides. RefSeq lists it as uncharacterized. Lineage: Eukaryota; Viridiplantae; Streptophyta; Magnoliopsida; Poales; Poaceae. The transcript is spliced from 3 exons. The record is from RefSeq and is a predicted model, not a curated record.
GGGCCAGGAGGUUUUCUUUUCACAAAAUUGUCGGGCAAGCUGUAAUAAAAGGGGAAUAUGAGUGGUUCUUAUGGUAUGCUCGUAACUGAAUUGAACAUGACUGUGGUCUAGUCCAUUAGAUGCUUAUAACUUGACCCUUGUGUCAUUCGGAGUUUACUAAUUGUCAGUAUUUCAUGGAUAUAUAAGGCAUUACUGGGCACACGGCCUAGAGGAACUCAAGUGAACAACAAAGCUAAUAGGGUAUUAGCGAUGACGCUCUGAAGUUGUGAGACUUGCACAAUUGUGUUCCAAUGAAGGAUGUUGCUGCAAUAUUAUGAACGGGCCAAGUUAUCACAGAAUGUCUUAUAUGAUCUGUUUUAGAUGUCGCUUACAUUAGAUAUGCUUUAUCUGGUAAAAAUGGUACCAAUAGAAUGAGUGGGUGUUCUUAAAGAUCUGCAUUGAUCAUUAGAGCUUGUCAAUGUUCCGGUGUAAGUUAAAUAUCUUAGAAGUAUUUAAACUU